UGGGGAAUAUUGCACAAUGGGCGCAAGCCUGAUGCAGCCAUGCCGCGUGUAUGAAGAAGGCCUUCGGGUUGUAAAUUACUUUCAGCGGGGAGGAAGGGAGUAAAGUUAAUACCUUUGCUCAUUGACGUUACCCGCAGAAGAAGCACCGGCUAACUCCGUGCCAGCAGCCGCGGUAAUACGGAGGGUGCAAGCGUUAAUCGGAAUUACUGGGCGUAAAGCGCACGCAGGCGGUUUGUUAAGUCAGAUGUGAAAUCCCCGGGCUCAACCUGGGAACUGCAUCGGAUACUGGCAAGCUUGAGUCUCGGAGAGGGGGGUAGAAUGCCAGGUGUAGCGGUGAAAUGCGUAGAGAUCUGGAGGAAUACCGGUGGCGAAGGCGGCCCCCUGGACGAAGACUGACGCUCAGGUGCGAAAGCGUGGGGAGCAAACAGG
RNAcentral lists this ribosomal RNA (429 nucleotides) under Chloroflexota bacterium. Its description in RNAcentral is "Chloroflexi bacterium partial 16S ribosomal RNA". It matches the Rfam family "Bacterial small subunit ribosomal RNA", at positions 355 to 776 of the family's 1533-position model. Lineage: Bacteria; Bacillati; Chloroflexota. The record is from RNAcentral.